UGGAGGGUGAUCUCUGAAGAAAACGGAGUGUAGCCUAAAAGAUGAGAGCUUUGAGUCUUGUAUUCCUGUUAACAGCCCUUCCUGGUAUCCUGUCUGAGGUGCAGCUUCAGGAGUCAGGUCCUGGCCUUGUGAAACCCUCUCAGACACUGUCGCUCACCUGCUCUGUCACUGGCUACUCCAUCACCAGUGGUUAUGAUUGGACUUGGAUACGGCAGUUCCCAGGAAAUAAGAUGGAGUGGAUGGGAUACAUAAGCUACAAUGGUGGCAAUAACUACAAUCCAUCUCUCAAAAGUCGAAUCUCUAUCACUAGAGACACAUCCAAGAACCAGUUCUUCCUGCAGUUGAACUCUGUGACUAAAGAGGACACAGCAACAUAUUACUGUGCAAGAAACACAGUAUGA
Non-coding RNA from Grammomys surdaster, 401 nucleotides. NCBI's taxonomy places the organism in Eukaryota, Metazoa, Chordata, Mammalia, Rodentia, Muridae. The record is from the annotation of a RefSeq genome assembly.